GGAAUUGUUCACAAUGGGCGCAAGCCUGAUGACGCAACGCCGCGUGGAGGAUGAAGGUCUUCGGAUUGUAAACUCCUGUUGCUCGGGACGAAAAGCUCCGACCUAAUACGUCGGAGUCUGACGGUACCGGGUGAGGAAGCCCCGGCUAACUCUGUGCCAGCAGCCGCGGUAAUACGGAGGGGGCUAGCGUUGUUCGGAAUUACUGGGCGUAAAGCGCACGUAGGCGGCUUUGUAAGUUAGAGGUGAAAGCCCGGGGCUCAACUCCGGAAUUGCCUUUAAGACUGCAUCGCUAGAAUCCGGGAGAGGUGAGUGGAAUUCCGAGUGUAGAGGUGAAAUUCGUAGAUAUUCGGAAGAACACCAGUGGCGAAGGCGGCUCACUGGACCGGUAUUGACGCUGAGGUGCGAAAGCGUGGGGAGCAAAC
RNAcentral lists this ribosomal RNA (422 nucleotides) under uncultured bacterium. RNAcentral describes it as "bacterial SSU rRNA". It matches the Rfam family "Bacterial small subunit ribosomal RNA", at positions 358 to 773 of the family's 1533-position model. The record is from RNAcentral.